This 483-nucleotide ribosomal RNA is filed under the name uncultured bacterium. RNAcentral describes it as "partial 16S ribosomal RNA". It matches the Rfam family "Bacterial small subunit ribosomal RNA", at positions 30 to 506 of the family's 1533-position model. The record is from RNAcentral.
AUUGAACGCUGGCGGCAGGCCUAACACAUGCAAGUCGAGCGGUAGAGCGAAGCUUGCUUCUCUUGAGAGCGGCGGACGGGUGAGUAAUGCCUAGGAAUCUGCCUGGUAGUGGGGGAUAACGUUCGGAAACGGACGCUAAUACCGCAUACGUCCUACGGGAGAAAGCAGGGGACCUUCGGGCCUUGCGCUAUCAGAUGAGCCUAGGUCGGAUUAGCUAGUUGGUGGGGUAAUGGCUCACCAAGGCGACGAUCCGUAACUGGUCUGAGAGGAUGAUCAGUCACCCUGGAAUUGAGAAACGGUCCAGACCCCUACGGGAGGCCGCGGGGGGAAAUUUUGGAAAAUGGGGGAAAGCCUGAUCCAGCCAUGCCGGGGGUGUGAAGAAGGUCUUCGGUUUGUAAAGCAUUUUAAGUUGGGAGGAAGGGAAGUAAAUUAAUACUUGGCUGUUUGGCCGUUCCCGAAAAAAAAAGCCCCGGCUAACUCUGG